This 78-nucleotide non-coding RNA is filed under the name uncultured Niveibacterium sp. RNAcentral describes it as "Cyclic di-GMP-I riboswitch". It matches the Rfam family "c-di-GMP-I riboswitch aptamer", at positions 9 to 86 of the family's 87-position model. From Rfam's summary of the family: GEMM was predicted in a large-scale screen for bacterial structured RNA regulatory elements. Genes associated with GEMM are involved in a diverse array of functions, including chemotaxis regulation, signal transduction, secretion and chitin. The record is from RNAcentral. Lineage: Bacteria; Pseudomonadati; Pseudomonadota; Betaproteobacteria; Rhodocyclales; Rhodocyclaceae.
AGGGCAAACCCGCCGAAAGACGGGGACGCAAAGCCUCCGGCCUACGGCGCAGAAGCGCUACGGUAGCGGGGUUGCCAA